This 522-nucleotide ribosomal RNA is filed under the name Acinetobacter baumannii Naval-18. RNAcentral's name for it is "bacterial SSU rRNA". It matches the Rfam family "Bacterial small subunit ribosomal RNA", at positions 33 to 541 of the family's 1533-position model. Lineage: Bacteria; Pseudomonadati; Pseudomonadota; Gammaproteobacteria; Moraxellales; Moraxellaceae. The record is from RNAcentral.
AUUGAACGCUGGCGGCAGGCUUAACACAUGCAAGUCGAGCGGGGGAAGGUAGCUUGCUACCGGACCUAGCGGCGGACGGGUGAGUAAUGCUUAGGAAUCUGCCUAUUAGUGGGGGACAACAUCUCGAAAGGGAUGCUAAUACCGCAUACGUCCUACGGGAGAAAGCAGGGGAUCUUCGGACCUUGCGCUAAUAGAUGAGCCUAAGUCGGAUUAGCUAGUUGGUGGGGUAAAGGCCUACCAAGGCGACGAUCUGUAGCGGGUCUGAGAGGAUGAUCCGCCACACUGGGACUGAGACACGGCCCAGACUCCUACGGGAGGCAGCAGUGGGGAAUAUUGGACAAUGGGGGGAACCCUGAUCCAGCCAUGCCGCGUGUGUGAAGAAGGCCUUAUGGUUGUAAAGCACUUUAAGCGAGGAGGAGGCUACUUUAGUUAAUACCUAGAGAUAGUGGACGUUACUCGCAGAAUAAGCACCGGCUAACUCUGUGCCAGCAGCCGCGGUAAUACAGAGGGUGCGAGCGUAAU